GGGGAAGUGUCGGAACCGGUAGACGAGCGUGACUUAGGAUCACGUGCCGCAAGGCGUGGGGGUUCGAGUCCCCCCUUCCCCACCA
RNAcentral lists this transfer RNA (85 nucleotides) under Pseudomonadota bacterium. Its description in RNAcentral is "tRNA-Leu". It matches the Rfam family "tRNA". From Rfam's summary of the family: Transfer RNA (tRNA) molecules are approximately 80 nucleotides in length. RNAcentral also lists the same sequence under 1 other name. The record is from RNAcentral. Lineage: Bacteria; Pseudomonadati; Pseudomonadota.